GCCUUUGAUUGUAUUUAUUUUUCGGUUAAUGUUUUGUACAAAAAUCAGUUUCAUGUAUUCAAAAAUGACAAGGGACAUAGGUGUGUUAUAUACUUUCUUCAAUGACAACAAACAUCCUUAUGUUGUACAAAACAUUAAACGAAAAAUUAAAACAAUCAAAGGCAACCAGCGACAACCACUGAAUUGCACGCUAUAGACUUUGGACACGAAUCCUUCCACUAACCUGGAACAGCCGUAUUUUGCACAACUUUUUUGGGAAAUUUUGGGUCCUCAAUGCUUUUCAACUUUGUACUUGUUUGUCUUUAUAACUAUUUUGAUCUGAGCGUUACUGAUGAGUCUUAUGUAGACAAAACGCGCAUCUAGCUGGUUCCUUUGAUAAUAAUUAUAAAAGCACAAGAUUGUUGAAUUUAUAUUAAAUGUUUUUUAAAUGUCGAAAGGUGGCUAUGGUAUUAUUUAAUACUUUUGUCAGAUUGUAUGAAAUUUGUGCAAAUAUAUUCAGGUUUAAUCUACCAUUUUCGUCAUAAGGAAAUGCAUGUAUCAAGUUAGGAUUAUUGCAGUUGACCUAUCGUUUGUUUGAUUUUGACCUUUUAUAAGAGUCUUUCCGUUUUGAAUUGAAUGUUGUGCACUAAGUAAGGAAUAUGACAGUUAUUUUGACAGUCAGUCGGCAGUUUUGUUAUUUUACUUUUUGCGUCAAGGUAUAUCAUGUAUAUAUGUAGGUAAUCAAACAAUAUGUACGGAUUUAUGUAUAAUACAUCUAUCAUUAUCAAGGAUUUUCUCGUGCCAUAGUUAACAUGCUAAAUACUUAAACAUGUUAAAAAUCUUAUUGUCCUGGAGUUGUUUGGUUUACAACACUUGUGCUAUAUUUUAUUUGUUUGCCAAUUAAAUUUGAUAUUAUGAGGUUUUUUUUUUACAAUAUUGUGUAUUGUAUAUUGUGUAAAAAUAUAUUAAAAAG
This 952-nucleotide long non-coding RNA is filed under the name Mytilus galloprovincialis (Mediterranean mussel). The record is from RNAcentral. Lineage: Eukaryota; Metazoa; Mollusca; Bivalvia; Mytilida; Mytilidae.